This is a long non-coding RNA of Oncorhynchus tshawytscha (Chinook salmon), 988 nucleotides long. The record is from Ensembl. Lineage: Eukaryota; Metazoa; Chordata; Actinopteri; Salmoniformes; Salmonidae.
GGGGGCAGCCGGUCAGGAAGUCCAGGACCCAGUUGCACAGGGCGGGGUUUCAGACUCAGGACCCUGAGCUUAACGAUGAGCUCGGAGGGUACUAUGGUGUUGAAGGCUGAGCUAUAGUCAAUGAAAAGCUUGCCGAUGUAGGUAUUCCUCUUGUCCAGAUGGGACGGGGCAGUGUACAGGCGAUUGCAUUGUCUGUGAAUCUAUUGAGGCGGAGUGGUAUGCAAGCUGGAGUGGGUCAAGGGUGUCAGGUAGGGUGGAGGUGAUAUGGUCCUUGACUAGUCUCUCAAAGCACUUCAUGAUGACGGAUGUGAGUGCUACGGGGCGGUAGUCGUUUAGCUCAGUUACCUUAGCUUUCUUGGGAACAGGAACAAUGGUGGCCCUCUUGAAGCAUGUGGGAACAGCAGACUGGUAUAGGGAUUGAUUGAAUAUGUCCGUAAACACACCGGCCAGCUGGUCUGCGCAUGCUCUGAUGGCGCGGCUGGGGAUGCCGUCUGGGCCUGCAGCCUUGCGAGGGUUAACACGUUUAAAUGUCUUACUCACUUCGGCUGCAGUGAAGGAGAGACCGCAUGUUUCCGUUGCAGGCCGUGUCAGUGGCACUGUAUUGUCCUCAAAGCGGGCAAAAAAGUUAUUUAGUCUGCCUGGGAGCAAGACAUCCUGGUCCGUGACUGGGCUGGGUUUCUUCCUGUAGUCCGUGAUUGACUGUAGACCCUGUACCUCCUCUAACCACUAGGCUACCUGCUCUAACCACUAGGCUACCUGCUCUAACCACUAGGCUACCUGCUCUAACCACUAGGCUAACUGCUCUAACCAAUAGGCUACCUGUUCUAACCACUAGGCUACCUGCUCUAACCACUAGGCUACCUGCUCUAACCACACUAGGCUACCUGCUCUAACCACUAGGCUACCUGCUCUAACCACUAGGCUACCUGCUCUAACCACUAGGCUACCUGCUCUAACCAAUAGGCUACCUGUUCUAACCACUAGGCUA